AGAACAUUUACUCAGAUUAAAAUUACUUACAAAAUGGCAAUGAUCUAAGUUGUAGAACCCAUAAAUAAAACAAUAACAAGGAUAAAUUCGUAGUAGAAGGUUGAAAACAUAUUGAAAUUGCAGAAUUUCCAUCUUCAUUCAUCAAAUCAGUUUACACAUGAGGUGGAGUGUAAAAUGUACCUGGAAAAUGAAAUAAACAGCAAAAGGUCAACAGCUGAACAACACAGCAACAUCACAUCCUAGAAAUAACUAAAGGAAAACCAAUUUUGAACCAAACUCCAACCAGCAGGAUCCAAUAAUGUCCAGUAAUCAAAUGCAACCAAAAAAUCGAACCCCAAACACUUAAAACCAACCAGCUUAAGCCAUUUCAAACCUCCGAUUAUCUAAGGACUGUUUCAGAAAUAAAAGAUCUUCAAGAGUUUCAGAAAAUUUUAAUGGAACAACAUUUUUUGGAUAUUUUCAGCAGAUUUGUUAUUUUUUGGGUCUUUUA
This 490-nucleotide long non-coding RNA is filed under the name Nicotiana benthamiana. RNAcentral's name for it is "long non-coding RNA (NBEN_LNC041094)". Lineage: Eukaryota; Viridiplantae; Streptophyta; Magnoliopsida; Solanales; Solanaceae. The record is from RNAcentral.